AUGCUGUAUGGCCCGUAACAGUACCAUGGUGGGACUAACUUUGGCCAUACUAUUGGAGGUCCGUUUAUUGCGACAAGUUAUGAUUACGGUGCUCCACUUGAUGAGUAUGGUAUUUUUCUUCUUAACCUUGUUUCGCGGGUCAUUUUGUAUAUGUUAAUCUGUAUGUGUCGUUUUUUUUCUCACAAAGAUUAUAUGUCUGAUGAUUACUUGCAGGAGUGCCUCGACAACCGAAGUGGGGCCACUUAAAAGAUUUACAUAAGGCCAUCAAGCUUUGUGAAGACACGUUGGUAGCAACCGACCCAACAACUACUUCUCUUGGUCAAAAUUUAGAGUGUAGGAUUGUUAAGGGGGCCGUGUCCGCGAGGUCGAACCCGGCUUAAACCUGAAUAUGGCACAGACCUGAAAAAACAAUCAAAUUCUGGAAGCCUGGUGCAUCUGGCUGCACCGAAACAAUAAGGUUUUCAAUCGGAAAAACAGUUCGGUCAACAUGGUGGCGGAAGAAAUUAAAGUUAGCACUUUUUGGUGGAUGACAAGAAGGGCCAAAAGAGCUGGCCUCACUUUGGAUAGCUAUUUACAUGAUUGAGCAGGAUGCUUUACCAACAAUUCCAAAAUGUAGAAGCAUUUGCACGUAUCGAAAAAGAGCCAGGGCUUUCAUUUGAUGUGUUCUUUUUGUUAUGAAGAUGCCACUCAUAGUAAAAAAGAUUACUUAUACAGGUUGAUUAUUGCUAGACUGAUUGAACUUCCAGUAGAUCAUGUGGAAAAGAAACUGUCAUAGAUGAUAUUGGACAACAACAUAGAACACUAGAUCAUGAUAUUGACUUAUAUAUGUUUUUUAUAUCGUUUUAAGGUUUGAAUUAUGCUACUGUCCCUUAUUAUCGACUCCGCAGCAACGCGCGGGUUACCCACUAGUUUAGAAUAAUGAUUAACUUCAAAAUUUAAAAUUUAAAAUCUAAAAAUCAAAUCACUAAUAUCUAAUCCCGUAAAUCAAGCAAACUUAUUA
Helianthus annuus (common sunflower) is the source of this 1000-nucleotide long non-coding RNA. RefSeq lists it as uncharacterized. NCBI's taxonomy places the organism in Eukaryota, Viridiplantae, Streptophyta, Magnoliopsida, Asterales, Asteraceae. The record is from RefSeq and is a predicted model, not a curated record. The transcript has 3 exons.